Molecule: long non-coding RNA, 2394 nt
Organism: Alligator mississippiensis (American alligator)
Lineage: Eukaryota; Metazoa; Chordata; Crocodylia; Alligatoridae
Exons: 2
Source: RefSeq, a predicted model, not a curated record
AGGGAGGGAGAAAGAGAGUGUGUAUGUGCAUAUGUGUGCAUGAAAGUGUCAGUGAUGGUUAAAGAAUCCCCUUGUCAGUGUCUGUGUGCAUUUGGGAGCAUCUGCCUCCUUAGUGUGAAAAGGUGUGUUAGCGGCAGUGUCUGGCAGGAUUGAUGGAAAUGGGGGAUAGAUACAUGUGUCUCAGGAUGUGGCUGUCUUAGGGAGCAUGUCUCUUACCUGCAGUAUACCUCAAUCCAGGCCAUACACCCAGACCACUCACUGGUCAAUUCUCACUGGCUUGUCAGCUGAUAUCUCUUUGGGCAGUUUGGUUAUCUGCUUAAGCUGUCUGCCUCUUUCUUACAGGGAAGGGAAGAGCUGGAGAAAGGAGCUGAGCUCUCUUUGUAAUGCUCCCUCUGCUGGCUCUGUGGCAGCACUUCACAAAUCAGAUGCAGAGAGAUUGUACACCCAGGAUUUGACUCCUGUGUACAGGGAUUAUUUCUACUCCUGGAAGCAGACUUCAUCCUGAAUCCUGUCAGAGUUAGAGCAGGAAAGGUACAGAACAACUUGGAGGCCUCUUUUUCUACAUGCUGUAUAUCAAAUGCUAUUUUAGAUUUGUACAGGACUUGUCACCCCAAGGCUCCCAGUGCUCUAUUAUAAACUGCUUGCUGUAGAGCCUGGAGUCAUUUCAUCCAGCACUGAAAUGCAGCCACCUCUGAAGGGGCCAGGACAGUUGUUUAACAACGACACAAAAUUGCCCAACAGUUCAAGUCAGUCCAAGGCCUCAGCAUCCUCAGCGUACUCUGUAUUGUUACUUCUGUUCAGCCAAUCAAACCAGUGUAAUCCCCUCUCAUAUCAGCAUCUCAUUCUUCCUAAACAGUUGUGCAGUUCAGUUCCUAUAAUCAAAUCAAUUUGAUACCCAUUUCCCCCAGCAGCUGGUCCCCUAAAUCAAUGCAUGUCUCCCAUCUCCUGAUAGGCCUCUUUAGCUGCAGCACUGCCAGCAUUUUUUCCAAGCUGGUGAAGGAGAUCCUGGGAUAGGAGAUCUGUCUGGAUUUUCCUCCUCCUCCAUGCUCAGACUACAGCUGGGAGAGGGAGCCCAGAUGAGUUCCCUCAGCUAUUUAGAGGCUGUCCAAGAGUGUCAUCUGGCUACAGAAGUGGCAGAAGGCACCCUCCUCCUCAGCUCUGAACUGCAUCUCCUGCAAACUUGAAAAGGGGCCAUCCCUGCUCAUCCAAACAGCUGGUGACUGGUCAGGAUGCUACCUGCAGUCACACUUGCCCUAUCUUAGGAUCAGCUCUGGCUUGGGUGGCUGUUCUGUGGAUCACUGGGGAAGCCAAGCUAAUAUCUGUCCAUCACAAAAGAGAUGGGCACGAGGCAAACAAAUGGUGCAGAAAUGCACGUGAAGGGAGCCUGGGUGCAGAGUCUAGGCUGAGUUCUAUGCUGAUGGGAUUGUACUGCCCUGCUAGGACUGGUGGCCACCCUGCUGAGUCAGCACCAUCUCUUGGCAAGCCGGGGAGAAUUCAGAAUCUGUUCCGGGAAGCCAAACAAACCUAAUGGAGGCACCAAGUCUGACUCAUCCUAGAGUCAUUCUGUGCUCUGGCUGAGUGGUUAACACAGCUGUUGGUUGGUCCCAUUCCCUGCACUGCACCAGAACCAGUGAGGACUGCCUGUGGUAUCACUGUGGAGAAGUCCCACAGUUGCUGAACAUGUGUUAUUUAAUACCCUUUGGAGACAGUCCUGUGAAAAGUACUAACUUUGCUAUGACAUGAUGGCACUUAGCAUAUGUUUCACUGACUGGAUGCAUGGACGCUGGUGUGUUAAGUGUGCUUAACACAUCCUACAUAUACUGUGCAAAAGCUGUCAUAGAAGGCUGUAGCUGCUGUUUCCCAGAUGAAUAUUAAUGCUGCAGAACACUUCUGUUUGUCCUCUGAAUGAACAAGGGUGAAGAAGUUGGCAGUGAAAGGUGCCACUAUGAUAGAUCUAACCAGGAGCAGCCUGGGUAGACAUGGAGCAAGGUUCUCCUGCUAGUGGGACCACCACACUAUGCCUUGGGCCUCUCCAGUAAGAUAGUCUACUGAAAGGCCAAUCCAUAUCUGAAUCUCUUCUGCUAGGAAAAGGAAUGAGGACUCAUCAUUCAUCUCUCACAAGGAAGUGAACAGCCAGUAGACGAUAAAAAUAUGUUGUUUGCGAUCCUAGCUGCAUUCACACCAAUGAUCCAGAAGGGAAAGGCUCCCUCCUCCUGGUCCUCCGAGCUGCUCUAGUGACUGCUGGGAAAUGACUAAAAGGAGGAUGAAUUACCAGCUGCCUCGCCUUGCACGUUCCUUUGUAUGCAUGAUGCCGUGGCUGCUACACGUGAAUUGUCUCACAUUGUGUUAGAUGAAAUAAACCUGAACGGGCCGAAUGCUUUUUGUGCCAUCUAA